RNAcentral lists this ribosomal RNA (62 nucleotides) under uncultured bacterium. RNAcentral's name for it is "partial 16S ribosomal RNA". The record is from RNAcentral.
CCGCGUGAAGGAAGAAGGUCUUCGGAUUGUAAACUUCUUUGAUCAGGGAAGAAUAAUGACAG